AACGAACGCUGGCGGCAUGCCUAACACAUGCAAGUCGAACGAGACCUUCGGGUCUAGUGGCGCACGGGUGCGUAACGCGUGGGAACCUGCCCUUAGGUUCGGAAUAACUCCCCGAAAGGGGUGCUAAUACCGGAUAAUGUCUUCGGACCAAAGAUUUAUCGCCUUUGGAUGGGCCCGCGUUGGAUUAGCUAGUUGGUAGGGUAAAAGCCUACCAAGGCGACGAUCCAUAGCUGGUCUGAGAGGAUGAUCAGCCACACUGGGACUGAGACACGGCCCAGACUCCUACGGGAGGCAGCAGUGGGUAAUAUUGGACAAUGGGCGAAAUCCUGAUCCAGCAAUGCCGCGUGAGUGAUGAAGGCCUUAGGGUUGUAAAGCUCUUUUACCCGGGAUGAUAAUGACAGUACCGGGAGAAUAAGCUCCGGCUAACUCCGUG
RNAcentral lists this ribosomal RNA (433 nucleotides) under uncultured bacterium. Its description in RNAcentral is "partial 16S ribosomal RNA". It matches the Rfam family "Bacterial small subunit ribosomal RNA", at positions 29 to 507 of the family's 1533-position model. The record is from RNAcentral.